CUGAGUGCUAUUUGAGUAAUUUCGCUAUUUUGUUUAGAUAAAAGUCAUUGUUGUUUUCUCAAAUUGAUUUACUGUUAUGUGAUAAUCGCAGCUGUGUCUAUUCUGUUGGAAAAUUCAUGGUUAUUAUUCUUAUUUUUAAAUUUAUUAUGUCGUGUACACUAAAUUCAAGUUAAAAUUGAUCAUUAUUACUGGAUUGAGUAGGUUAUGUGGGGGCUCAGUUACUAAUUUUAUGCAAUUUUCUUUACUGAGAUAGUACGGGAUCAUUUCCACGUUCUUGAGGUGCUCCCUUUUAUUCAGUUUUGCACGAUUAAUUUCUGUUGGCGGAACGAUUUAAUGGGAUUCUUUUGAUUUUAUUUUGGGGUCUUGAAACCUAAAAUAUGAAGUUUGGUCGGCUUAGAAGAAUUCAUUGACUCUUUAGUUGAGUCUGAAAAUAUUUCCUUGGGACCGAAGAAAUGGCAGUAGUUAUUUAAAUUUGUUUUCUGUCGUUUUUGUUUUCUUUUAUUAUUUUAAUUUACUAUUUGUUGUUUUCUCUUUAUGUUAUCUGAUAGUGAAAAUCUAAUGCAAAUUGUUUUAAGUGGGACAUACCAAAACAAUCGAAACUUGUUCCAUACAGCUAUAGUCUCUUCUGUUUAGAGGUGAGUUGAAGUAUUCAACCUCUUGUGCUGCCAAGUUUGAUUGCUUUACUUUCUGUUGUGUUGACCUGAAGGGAAAAAACAGAAUAUGCUUUGCAGGUAUAAUUGUAAGACUGUUUUCAAACUUACUCUUUUACUUUGAAUUAGAUUCUUGUAUGAUUGAUAUAUUAUUGUAUGCCUAUUUUGUUAUAAGAUUUCAUUACAGAACUUUUCUCUUCUUGUAGUAACCAGAAUAAAGCUUGCUCAAUUGGAUAGGAAUUUCUGGAUUCUGGUUAAUUACUUAUUUUUUAAGAGGUUUCCAUGGGAAUAUUUGUUCAUGGAUCUUAUUAGGGAAAUUGCCACUCACUAGCUCACGACAAAGGCCAUGGUGCUAACUUUAAUUCUUCUCAACUUAUCCCAACAAGCAUCAAACAAGAGCCAAAUGGGUCUCAGUAUUUUGUGAGGCUCUAUGUGUCUGCGAGAUAUCAGGGGGUGCCUCCACUACCCCGCCCAGAGCUGAAUUUACAGCUUGGAAAAUGGGAAUUUCUUUGUGUAGCAGUUAGGUAUUUUUCAAGGUUUGCUAGGGACAAUUCUAUUAUUGCAGAAGUAGAAGCUCUUGCCACCAGCUUAGGUAGAUCCCUCACAGGGAGAGUUUUAGGAGAUAAGCAUGCAUUCACAAUUGCCCAGUACAGUGCUUCCUUUCAUGUUGCUGGGCGCUUAAAUGAAGUAUGGAUGGACCUUUCACCAUUUGCAACAAAGGGAUGCCCCUCCCCUCAGGGAAUGUAUUGAUAUGGUUGUUGAGUAGUGCGAGUUGAUUUCUAGCAACAAGUUGGACGUUCUGGGUGGGAAUGAACCAGAUAAUAUGCCUUUUAUGUAGAUAUGUCCCUUGUAAAUUUAAAACGUUCCAAAUGAUGGAGAACAUCUUGGUGCUCUGAUAUCAACUAUGGAAUAUUGUCAUGCAUCAAUAAACAGUUGUCUCCUGGUUCUGUUUUA
Molecule: non-coding RNA, 1604 nt
Organism: Nelumbo nucifera (sacred lotus)
Lineage: Eukaryota; Viridiplantae; Streptophyta; Magnoliopsida; Proteales; Nelumbonaceae
Source: RefSeq, a predicted model, not a curated record